This is a long non-coding RNA of Dermochelys coriacea (leatherback sea turtle), 156 nucleotides long. RefSeq lists it as uncharacterized. The record is from RefSeq and is a predicted model, not a curated record. Lineage: Eukaryota; Metazoa; Chordata; Testudines; Dermochelyidae. The transcript has 3 exons.
AAUGUUUCAUCACUCCAUGUAUCCUCUCCAUCCCAGAGGCUAUCAAAGAUUAGAAGCCAAAAAAAAUGCACUCACGAUGAAAUGUUCUCUGAACUCAUGCAGUCCUCCCAUGCUGAAAGAACUCAGCACAAUGCGUGGAGGGAGACAAUAUCAGAG